CCUACGGGAGGCAGCAGUGGGGAAUAUUGGACAAUGGGCGAAAGCCUGAUCCAGCAAUGCCGCGUGAGUGAUGAAGGCCUUAGGGUUGUAAAGCUCUUUUACCAGGGAUGAUAAUGACAGUACCUGGAGA
Molecule: ribosomal RNA, 130 nt
Filed under: uncultured bacterium
Lineage: Bacteria
Description: partial 16S ribosomal RNA
Rfam family: Bacterial small subunit ribosomal RNA
Source: RNAcentral